GCGAGAGUGGUGGAACGGUAGACACGCUAGAUUUAGGAUCUAGUGCCUUCGGGCGUGCGGGUUCAAGUCCCGCCUCUCGCA
Molecule: transfer RNA, 81 nt
Filed under: Rubrobacter sp.
Lineage: Bacteria; Bacillati; Actinomycetota; Rubrobacteria; Rubrobacterales; Rubrobacteraceae
Also listed under: 4 other names
Description: tRNA-Leu
Rfam family: tRNA
About the family: Transfer RNA (tRNA) molecules are approximately 80 nucleotides in length. Their secondary structure includes four short double-helical elements and three loops (D, anti-codon, and T loops).
Source: RNAcentral